Molecule: ribosomal RNA, 443 nt
Filed under: uncultured bacterium
Lineage: Bacteria
Description: partial 16S ribosomal RNA
Rfam family: Bacterial small subunit ribosomal RNA
Source: RNAcentral
CCUACGGGUGGCAGCAGUGGGGAAUAUUGGGCAAUGGGCGCAAGCCUGACCCAGCAACGCCGCGUGAAGGAAGAAGGCUUUCGGGUUGUUAACUUCUUUUGUCAGGGACGAAGACAGUGACGGUACCUGUCGAAUAAGCCACGGCUAACUACGUGCCAGCAGCCGCGGUAAUACGGAGGUGGCAAGCGUUAUCCGGAUUUACUGGGUGUAAAGGGCGUGUAGGCGGGACUGCAAGUCAGAUGUGAAAACCACGGGCUCAACCUGUGGCCUGCAUUUGAAACUGUAGUUCUUGAGUACUGGGGAGGCAGACGGAAUGUCUGGUGUAGCGGUGAAAUGCGUAGAGAUUAGGAGGAACACCAGUGGCGAAGGCAGUCUGCUGAACAGCAACUGACGCUGAGGCGCGAAAGCGUGGGGAGCAAACAGGAUUAGAUACCCUUGUAGUC